GACGUAGGGCGCGAGCGUUGUCCGGAUUUAUUGGGCGUAAAGAGCUCGUAGGCGGCUUGUCGCGUCGUCCGUGAAAACCUGCAGCUCAACUGCAGGCUUGCGGUCGAUACGGGCAGGCUAGAGUUCGGUAGGGGAGACUGGAAUUCCUGGUGUAGCGGUGAAAUGCGCAGAUAUCAGGAGGAACACCGGUGGCGAAGGCGCCACUCUGGGCCGAAACUGACGCUGAGGAGCGAAAGCGUGGGUAGCAAACAGG
This 253-nucleotide ribosomal RNA is filed under the name uncultured bacterium. RNAcentral's name for it is "partial 16S ribosomal RNA". It matches the Rfam family "Bacterial small subunit ribosomal RNA", at positions 524 to 776 of the family's 1533-position model. The record is from RNAcentral.